UAGGGGGCUCUAGGGGCAGCGGGGGGCUAUAGGGGGUGCCUAUAGGAGCAUAUAUAGGACCCCUCUCCCCCCAGCAGGCGGCACUGCCCCGUGUGUCGCCGUGGGGCCGAGGGCAGAGCAAUGGGGUGACCUACGGCCGGGGCCACCCCCUGGUGCCCCCCGGUAUACGCCAGCCCCUACACAUCCUAUAGGGGGCAGGACCUAUAGGGACCUGCCCCUCUGGGCCUCCUCUGGGUGGAGCCUAUAGGGCCCCAGCCAAUUGGAGCCCCGUAUAGACCUGGUUCUAUAGGGACCAGAGCCUCUGCCCCAUAGGGAACCUGAGCCUAUAGGGCCCCACAUCCUUCUCCCCUAUAGACCUCACCCUAUAGGGGACAGCCCUUCUAGGUAUGGGACCCUCUAGGGGUCAGGACCACCCUUAUAGACCAGGCCCUAUAGGGACAACCCCCUAUAGACCCCACCCCAUAGGGACCAGACCCACCCAUAUGGACCAAACCCUAUAGGGGCCACCCCCCCGACCCCCUAUAGAAAUCCUAUAGGGAUGAGGCCCAUGCAUAUAGACCAGGCCCUAUAGGGAUCUCCCCACUGAUCCCCUAUAGAUCUCAUCCUAUAGGGACCAGACCCAUCCAUAUAGACCAGGCCUUAUAAGGGCCACCCCAUUGAUCCCUUAAAGACCUCACCCUAUAGGGACCGCCCCCUAUAGACCUCACCCUAUAGGGGUCACCCCCACCCAUAUAGACCAGGCCCUAUAGGGAUCUCCCCACUGACCUAUAGAUCUCAUUCUAUAGGGACCAGACCCACCCAUAUAGAAUAAAUCAUAUAGGGGUCAGACCUACUCAUAUAGACUGGACCCUAUAGGGACCACCCCACUGACCCCCUAUAGACCCCACCCUAUAGGGAACACACCCUAUAGGGACUACCCCACUGAUCCCAUAUAGACCUCACCCUAUAGGGACCAGACCCUAUAGACCCCACCCCACUGACCCCCUAUAGACCCCACCCUAUAGGGACCACACCCUAUAGGGACCACCCUACUGACCCCCUAGAGACCUCACCCUAUAGGGAUCAGUCCCACCCAUGUAGACCACACCCUAUAGGGACCACCCCACUGACCCCUUACAGACCUCACCCUAUAGGGACCAGCCCCUAUAGACUCCACCCUAUACGGACCCCACCCUAUACGGACCAGACCCUAUAGGGACCACCCCACUGACCCCCUAUAGAUCUCACCCUAUAGGGACCAGACUCUAUAGGAAUCACCCCACUGACCCCCUAUAGACUUCACCCUAUAGGGAUCAGGCCCACCUAUAUAGACCACACCCUAUAGGGACCCCACCCCUUACAGACCCCACCCUAUAGGGACCAAACCCUAUAGACCCCACCUUACUGACCCCCUAUAGACCCCACCCUAUAGGGACCACACCCUAUAGGGACCACCCCACUGACCCCCUAAAGACCUCACCCUAUAGGGAUCAGUCCCAACCAU
Molecule: long non-coding RNA, 1483 nt
Filed under: Calidris pugnax (ruff)
Lineage: Eukaryota; Metazoa; Chordata; Aves; Charadriiformes; Scolopacidae
Description: lncRNA (ENSCPUG00000000956.1)
Source: RNAcentral